CUCAAGAUACCAUCUCCACCGAUUUAAUCCAACACAGGGGAGGAGCAGUUCGUUAAUCCUUCACAUCUAAUUCUUCUUCUUCUUUUUAUCUUUCUUUCUUUUUUCUUUUUUUUCUUUUUUUUUUUUUUUUGCAUGGCUACGAUUAGAACAACAGCACGGUAGAGAUGAGAUGAUCAACUAAGGCUCGGUGCAUGAUAAGGAGGAAUACGUACCCACAACGACUUGCGCAGGUUCUUUGGAAUUGGGAUGUGUUAAUAAAAGCAUCUAUGAGAGGCUAAUUUGACAGAGACAAAAAGGGCGCGAUCGAUCAGAGGCUCAAGAGCCUCGCCCACGUGGGAUUCCCUCCCCUUCAUUCGGACCGUAAACCCGGCCAGGUGCAUGCAAUUGUUGCAAUUGUCCAUUGUCUCAUGGUUGCAUGUAUCUGUACUUCAUCGCAAUAAGGGAGGGUGCUCACUCUGAAACCCUAAUAUAAAUAGGACCCAUGUGGGAGGUGAUCUCCAAUACAAGUUGGUGUGCGAAGAGUAAGCUAAAGAGCAUGGAAUUAAUGGGCUCAUGGAUUAAGCUAGUCCCAUUUUCUAGGGUUUUUGAGAUAGUUGGUUGUUCCCUGGAGUUCCCUCAGACACUUCAUUAAGUAGGGUUCUAUAAUAUACACUGAAAAUAUAAGCCUUAUCUCUACUGAAGUGUUUGGGGGAACUCUGGGUGGCACCCAACCUUCGUAUCGUUAGUGUUAGGGCUCAGUUUUGAUUAUGCAUGCAAAAGAGAUUAUAUAUAUGCAUAUGUGUGUGUGUGUGUGUGUGUGUGUGUGAGAGAGAGAGAGAGAGAGAGAGAGAGAGAGAGAGAGAGAGAGAGAGAGUUUGCAAUUAAUUAAGUUGGUUGUUCCCUGGAGUUCCCUUCAGACACUUCAUUAGGGCUCAUAAGUGUUUGGGCUGUAGUGAAGUGUUUGGGGGAACUCUGGGUGUCACCCAACAACUUGAUCAUGAUGAUGAGCUGGGCCACAAGGGCUCUGAAUUGGUGCAUGCAUGCAGGGUUUAGUAAUAACUAGAAACUGCAGGAAUAUAUGCAAGUAAUUGGUUGUUCCCUGGAGUUCCCUCAUACACUUCAUUAGGUAGGGCUUUUUUUUUUUACCUCCCAGGUGCAAAAGCAAAUGCUACUGAAGUGUUUGGGGGAACUCCAGGGUGCUAUCCAAUAUUGGCUACAGAGGUGAAGCCCCUCUCAACGUGCGGCGACAGAGAUCCUCCUCCAGCCGCUUUCUGAGCUCAUCGUCGAUCGCAGCAACAAAAGUUCCAUUCCUGAAAGAAUGAGGAUUCCGGGUGAUUGAAGGAAGGUGUAUCUCAGCUAAAAGACCUGGACAGUUCCACUAUCAUCACAAACAUUUAUGAACAUCGAUUUAGAGUGUUGAUUGUUGUAAAACUCGUGGCAGUGCACUAGCUAGGAUGCCGAGGAGGUAAUGUGAAAUCAUUUUCCAUUAGAUAUAAAACAGUUAUGCAGAUCUUGUCCGAGCAUGCUUAUGGAAUCUUUGAACAAGCGCCAACUGAGAGACCUUUUUACCUGGUGGAUGUCAAGUGCUGAUUACUUUAUUAGUUUGAUAAUUUCAUUAGACCUUGCAGUCUUUGCUCUCGAUGUGACUUAAAUGACCCUCAAACUGUAAGAUAGUACUUCCACAACUAUCUACUUCUGGUACGCUCAAGCAUCUACCAAACAGCAAAUUAGUGUAACAAUGUCCUUUGGGCCAAGGGAGAAUCCAUUUCAACAGUAAUUAAUUUGCUGGCUUGUUCUUGAUGACGUGGUUAUCUAUCAGUGGUGGACCUCGGCUGCGAACUGCAAGAAGGCGGUUUCGUACAGGCCGAGCAAGGGUAAGUGGUGGCAAGGCUGGUCAGUAGUCUCCGUUUCUCCUAGACUGCCGCAUCCCGAGCAUGCGAAUUCCUUUCUCUACAUACAGGCACUCUCGAGAAACAAUGUGGUUGUGGUGUUCUUUUGUUUAUUUUUCGAGCUUUCGCUUUCUCUGGGCCUGCGCCCCAGGCUUCGGCUGCCUUUAUUCUGUUUUUCGUGUCAUGCGGUGUUGGCCUAAUGGAGCCAUAUAUGCAUAUUUGUAUAUAUCUUUUCCAUUUCCAUUUUAAAAGAUUAUAUAUCUUCGCAGUUGUUGAAUAUAUAUAUAGAAAGAGAGAGUUGUGCUGGAA
Molecule: long non-coding RNA, 2177 nt
Organism: Ananas comosus (pineapple)
Lineage: Eukaryota; Viridiplantae; Streptophyta; Magnoliopsida; Poales; Bromeliaceae
Exons: 4
Source: RefSeq, a predicted model, not a curated record